This is a long non-coding RNA of Seriola aureovittata, 1814 nucleotides long. RefSeq lists it as uncharacterized. NCBI's taxonomy places the organism in Eukaryota, Metazoa, Chordata, Actinopteri, Carangiformes, Carangidae. The record is from RefSeq and is a predicted model, not a curated record. The transcript is spliced from 3 exons.
GCAUCCCCGACAGCCGGCUGUGUUAUCAGCAUCCAGCCGGACAGCUGUGGACUGUAGAGUGAAUAAAAUACUAUAAACUCCCGGGACGGACGGAGAGUCUCCCCUGGUUUAUGUGUGAGAGCUCCGAGAAGCUGCCAGAGGAGCGGACAGGAGCGGGAAGGAGACUCCAGCUGCUCACCGCACCGUGGUGCUGCACGUGCCGCUGACUGCUGCUGGACUCACUGAACCAUGUCUUUUGCGGGGACACAUCUCUUUCCCGCUCAUGUGCCGAUCGUCCCACGUGAACCAACUUCCUGAUGAAACAACGAAUCAUAUCUUCACACAGACCAGACAGGUGUCUGUGAUGUGAACCCAUCUAUUUCCCACGCUUCUGUUCCUAUCCCCCAGGUGAACCGCACCUUCCAGACUAAUCAAUGUAUCAUCUUCACACAGACCCCAUAUAUAUAUAUAUAUAUAGCUUGAUGUUUGCCUUGCACUCCUUUUACUCUGAGCACAAUGAGGCGACUGAUCAAGCGGUUCUCUGUCGAAGAGGUUCUGGUCCAGGUUUUUGGACAUGAUGAACCAGAGACAGAGGAGGACGUCUCGGAAGUGGAAGGCAACACAGAUUUUGAUCCAGACUUUGAGGAGACUGACCAGUCAACAGAUGGAGAGGCACCUGAAGAACAAGCACCUGAGGAGACAUUCUGGUCCAAGAGUGGACACUUGCUCUGGUCUUCAUCCCCCCAGGACAGAGGAAGUAGAGCGAGAGUGGAAAACAUCAGCAUCACGCUGGGACGCUCAGAUCACAAUGUCCUGACUCCACAACUCCUGCUCUUCCUCACCAUGUGCAAACUGGCACUUUCUCAUGUACAUAUCGUGUGUAUAUUGUAUUUAUUAGUGUAUAUUUGGUAUAUUUUUUUGGGCUUUUGUGCCUUUAUUGGACAGGAUAGUGGAGAGAGACAGGAAAUGGGGAGGCAGAGAGAGGGGGAAUGACAUGCAGUAAAGGCCGCCCGAUGCGGGACUCGAACCGGGGCCAACUGCAGCGAGGACUGUAGCCUCUACACAUGGGGCGCCUGCUUAGACCACUACGCCACACGACGCCCCUAUUUGGUAUAUUUUUGUUGUAUAUUUCCACAUUUCCGAUGUUUAUUCUAUAGAUGUUUAUUUUCUGCUGUGGUAAAGGAAUUUCCCAAUUGUGGGAUAAAUAAAGUUAAUCUAAUCUAAUCUAAAGAUGACAACAGGGCUAACACGGUAUGGUAAAUCUCGUGUGGAUGACAUCAAGUCCAGCUUCCAACCUGGAGAGGAAUCGACCUGAUAGACCUCCAAUCCUACAUAGGUCUGUUGAUUUUAGCAGGAGUAUAUCGCUCAAACUAUGAGGCUACAAAAAGUCUGUGGGAUGCAGAAGGAUCUUUGGUUUUCCAUUUAUGUUUUCCAUUACAUGUUCAUUUUGUAAUACAUUUUCAGUGCCUAUUUGUAUUUUCACUGCAGUUAUUUUAUGUCUAAUUCUAUAAAUUCAUGUUAAACACUACUUUGAGACAUUGUUCACAGCUAAAGAAUGUUGAAUAAAAAUUUGGUGGUGAAAAAUGGUUUUUGUGCUAAUUUAAGAGCAGUUAAAACAGACCGGUCAAUUAAGUAAGGGGCGGGAGGUGAACACGACAGGAGGGUUAAAGGGAACUUUUAUUUUAAAGGCUAAGUACCAAAAUUUUGUGUUACUUCUUAAAUGUUAUUGGAGGCACCGCCAAGUUAUUUUAUAUCACAUUUAUCACAGGUAGCGCCAUCUCCAGACGAACUCAGGCCCCUCCCACUGUACUACAACACCCCUAUUAUUUGUCAGU